This 71-nucleotide transfer RNA is filed under the name Hylarana latouchii (broad-folded frog). Its description in RNAcentral is "tRNA-Gln". It matches the Rfam family "tRNA". From Rfam's summary of the family: Transfer RNA (tRNA) molecules are approximately 80 nucleotides in length. Their secondary structure includes four short double-helical elements and three loops (D, anti-codon, and T loops). Further hydrogen bonds mediate the characteristic L-shaped molecular structure. tRNAs have two regions of fundamental functional importance: the anti-codon, which is responsible for specific mRNA codon recognition, and the 3' end, to which the tRNAs corresponding amino acid is attached (by aminoacyl-tRNA synthetases). tRNAs cope with the degeneracy of the genetic code in two manners: having more than one tRNA (with a specific anti-codon) for a particular amino acid; and 'wobble' base-pairing, i.e. permitting non-standard base-pairing at the 3rd anti-codon position. The record is from RNAcentral. Lineage: Eukaryota; Metazoa; Chordata; Amphibia; Anura; Ranidae.
UAAGGAGUAGUAUAAAGGAAGUACUAAGGGUUUUGAUCCCUUGGGUAUAGGUUCAAUUCCUAUCUCUUUAA